GGGUCAUUAGGUUGGUCGUGCCACCGGUACGUACUGGUCUCACUGAUUCCUCCUUCCUGAAGAACCGUAAUGCCAUUAAUCUGGUGUUGCGGGGAAACAGGACUGUUACUUUGAAAAAUUAGAGUGUUUAAAGCAAGCUAACGCUUGAAUACAUUAGCAUGGAAUAAUGAAAUAGGACGAUCGAUCCUAUUUUGUUGGUUUCUAGGAUUGACGUA
RNAcentral lists this ribosomal RNA (215 nucleotides) under Glomeromycotina sp. RNAcentral describes it as "partial small subunit ribosomal RNA". The stretch from base 40 to 215 matches the Rfam family "Eukaryotic small subunit ribosomal RNA", at positions 686 to 864 of the family's 1831-position model. The record is from RNAcentral. Lineage: Eukaryota; Fungi; Glomeromycota.